This 511-nucleotide ribosomal RNA is filed under the name uncultured bacterium. Its description in RNAcentral is "bacterial SSU rRNA". It matches the Rfam family "Bacterial small subunit ribosomal RNA", at positions 28 to 528 of the family's 1533-position model. The record is from RNAcentral.
GACGAACGCUGGCGGCGUGGAUUAGGCAUGCAAGUCGAACGGUAUCAUCCUUUCGGGGGUGAGAGAGUGGCGAACUGGUGAGUAACACGUAGGUUAUCUACCCUCAAGACGGGGACAACCCAGGGAAACUUGGGCUAAUACCGGAUGUGAGCAACUUUUAGUUGUUUGAAAGGUGGCGUAAGCUGUCGCUUGGGGAUGAGCCUGCGUCCUAUUAGUUAGUUGGUGAGGUAACGGCUCACCUAGGCAAUGAUAGGUAGGCGGCCUUAACGGGUGGUCGCCCACACUGGGAUUGAGAUACGGCCCAGACUCCUACGGGAGGCAGCAGUCGAGAAUAGUCUACAAUGGUCGGAAGACUGAUAGUGCGACGCCGCGUGAACGAUGAAUCCCUUCGGGGUGUAAAGUUCUUUUCUAUACGAGCAGUGCUAUAUAUAUGGAUAGUAUAUAUAGAGGGAUAGUAGUAUAGGAAUAAGCAAACGGCUAAACUCCGUGCCAGCAGCCGCGGUAAUCUCGU